RNAcentral lists this ribosomal RNA (465 nucleotides) under Vreelandella stevensii. RNAcentral describes it as "partial 16S ribosomal RNA". It matches the Rfam family "Bacterial small subunit ribosomal RNA", at positions 338 to 795 of the family's 1533-position model. Lineage: Bacteria; Pseudomonadati; Pseudomonadota; Gammaproteobacteria; Oceanospirillales; Halomonadaceae. The record is from RNAcentral.
CCUACGGGGGGCAGCAGUGGGGAAUAUUGGACAAUGAGGGGAACCCUGAUCCAGCCAUGCCGCGUGUGUGAAGAAGGCCCUCGGGUUGUAAAGCACUUUCAGUGAGGAAGAACGCCUGGUGGUUAAUACCCAUCAGGAAAGACAUCACUCACAGAAGAAGCACCGGCUAACUCCGUGCCAGCAGCCGCGGUAAUACGGAGGGUGCGAGCGUUAAUCGGAAUUACUGGGCGUAAAGCGCGCGUAGGUGGCUUGAUAAGCCGGUUGUGAAAGCCCCGGGCUCAACCUGGGAACGGCAUCCGGAACUGUCAAGCUAGAGUGCAGGAGAGGAAGGUAGAAUUCCCGGUGUAGCGGUGAAAUGCGUAGAGAUCGGGAGGAAUACCAGUGGCGAAGGCGGCCUUCUGGACUGACACUGACACUGAGGUGCGAAAGCGUGGGUAGCAAACAGGAUUAGAUACCCCUGUAGUC